Molecule: ribosomal RNA, 275 nt
Filed under: uncultured bacterium
Lineage: Bacteria
Description: partial 16S ribosomal RNA
Rfam family: Bacterial small subunit ribosomal RNA
Source: RNAcentral
CUUUCUCCGCCGGCGACCGGCGCACGGGUGAGUAACACGUAUGCAACCUGCCCCUGUCAGGGGGACAACCCGCCGAAAGGCGGGCUAAACCCGCGUACAUGCCACCGGGGCAUCCCGGAGGCAGGGAAGGCUUCGGCCGGACAGGGAUGGGCAUGCGGCGCAUUAGGCAGUAGGCGGGGUAACGGCCCACCUAACCGACGAUGCGUAGGGGUUCUGAGAGGAAGGUCCCCCACACUGGUACUGAGACACGGCCAGACUCCUACGGAAGGCAGCAG